UACGUGGUGGAGAAAAGGAGGAGUAAAGAUGAAAGGAGUAGGAAGGUGGAAGUGGUGGUGGCAGCGGCGGUUACGGUGGUCCUGGGCAUUGGAAAUCGAGUGUCGUAUAAACUGGCGCUUGCUCCUCUGAAGCAUUACCCCUUCUUUCUUGCUCAGCUUGCUACUUUCGGGAAUCUUCCACAACCCAUAUUGGAAUAGUUUAUUCAGCUUUAGAGGAAGGAUUGUUAGAAUAAGGUUUACUGUGGAGUGCUCUGGAUGGACGCAAG
Molecule: long non-coding RNA, 266 nt
Organism: Pistacia vera
Lineage: Eukaryota; Viridiplantae; Streptophyta; Magnoliopsida; Sapindales; Anacardiaceae
Exons: 3
Source: RefSeq, a predicted model, not a curated record